AUUGAACGCUGGCGGCAUGCCUUACACAUGCAAGUCGAACGGCAGCACGGGAGCAAUCCUGGUGGCGAGUGGCGAACGGGUGAGUAAAGUAUCGGAACGUGCCCAGUCGUGGGGGACAACGUAGCGAAAGUUACGCUAAUACCGCAUACGAUCUACGGAUGAAAGCGGGGGAUCGCAAGACCUCGCGCGAUUGGAGCGGCUGAUAUCAGAUUAGAUAGUUGGUGGGGUAAAGGCUCACCAAGCUGACGAGCUGUCGCUGGUCUGAGAGGACGACCACCCACACUGGGACUGAGACACGGCCCAGACUCCUACGGGAGGCAGCAGUGGGGAAUUUUGGACAAUGGGCGCAAGCCUGGUCCAGCCAUGCCGCGUGCAGGAUGAAGGCCUUCGGGUUGUAAACUGCUUUUGUACGGAACGAAAAGGUUUGGCCUAAUAAGCUGAGCUCAUGACGGUACCGUAAGAAUAAGCACCGGCUAACUACGUGCCAGCCGCCGCUGUAA
This 500-nucleotide ribosomal RNA is filed under the name uncultured bacterium. Its description in RNAcentral is "partial 16S ribosomal RNA". It matches the Rfam family "Bacterial small subunit ribosomal RNA", at positions 30 to 523 of the family's 1533-position model. The record is from RNAcentral.